Non-coding RNA from Ictidomys tridecemlineatus (thirteen-lined ground squirrel), 512 nucleotides. Lineage: Eukaryota; Metazoa; Chordata; Mammalia; Rodentia; Sciuridae. The record is from RefSeq and is a predicted model, not a curated record.
AGCAGGACUCAACUGUGAUGUUGAAGCCCAGCAGAGAGGUGGCUGGUUCUGCAGCCUUGGACACGUGGCCAUCAGCUCCUCAUCCACUUUUCCAUUGAACAAGGACUCCUGGAUCUCAUCAGGGUUGAAACCCACAAGUAACAUGAGUAUAAAAGGUGGAAGAAAGUCCUGCACCUUCUACAGAGGAUCAGCUCCUAAAACAGCACCUCUGCCUCCAUUGGGAUAUCCCAUGGAGAGAAACUUGAAGGUGACUCCCAGGAUCCCUACAGCUUCAGUGGAUCAGCGUGCCCUUUAACCCAACAAAGACAUGAGCACGUGCAUCCAGCAGGAUACCUCCACUCUCAGCCUCCUGUGAGCCACGCCCACCUGGGGCAGCAGCAGGCAGCAGAGGUGACCCCAGGUCCCCAGGCCUCCUCUCCUGCAUGCUGCCGUCCUCCUCACCUCCGCUUGAGUGCUCCAUCACAACGUAGCUGUCCUCACCUGCCUCGAUAACAUGGAACAGCUGGAUGACA